Molecule: ribosomal RNA, 468 nt
Filed under: uncultured bacterium
Lineage: Bacteria
Description: partial 16S ribosomal RNA
Rfam family: Bacterial small subunit ribosomal RNA
Source: RNAcentral
GACGAACGCUGGCGGCGUGCUUAACACAUGCAAGUCGAACGGAAAGGCCCUGCUUUUGUGGGGUGCUCGAGUGGCGAACGGGUGAGUAACACGUGAGUAACCUGCCCUUGACUUUGGGAUAACUUCAGGAAACUGGGGCUAAUACCGGAUAGGAGCUCCUGCUGCAUGGUGGGGGUUGGAAAGUUUCGGCGGUUGGGGCUGGACUCGCGGCUUAUCAGCUUGUUGGUGGGGUAGUGGCUUACCAAGGCUUUGACGGGUAGCCGGCCUGAGAGGGUGACCGGCCACAUUGGGACUGAGAUACGGCCCAGACUCCUACGGGAGGCAGCGGUGGGGAAUAUUGCACAAUGGGCGGAAGCCUGAUGCAGCAACGCCGCGUGCGGGAUGACGGCCUUCGGGUUGUAAACCGCUUUCGCCUGUGACGAAGCGUGAGUGACGGUAAUGGGUAAAGAAGCACCGGCUAACUACGUG